RNAcentral lists this ribosomal RNA (1444 nucleotides) under uncultured organism. RNAcentral describes it as "SSU rRNA". It matches the Rfam family "Bacterial small subunit ribosomal RNA". The record is from RNAcentral.
GAACGCUAGCUACAGGCUUAACACAUGCAAGUCGAGGGGCAGCAUGGUCUUAGCUUGCUAAGGCCGAUGGCGACCGGCGCACGGGUGAGUAACACGUAUCCAACCUGCCGUCUACUCUUGGACAGCCUUCUGAAAGGAAGAUUAAUACAAGAUGGCAUCAUGAGUCCGCAUGUUCACAUGAUUAAAGGUAUUCCGGUAGACGAUGGGGAUGCGUUCCAUUAGAUAGUAGGCGGGGUAACGGCCCACCUAGUCUUCGAUGGAUAGGGGUUCUGAGAGGAAGGUCCCCCACAUUGGAACUGGGACACGGUCCAAACUCCUACGGGAGGCAGCAGUGAGGAAUAUUGGUCAAUGGGCGAGAGCCUGAACCAGCCAAGUAGCGUGAAGGAUGACUGCCCUAUGGGUUGUAAACUUCUUUUAUAAAGGAAUAAAGUCGGGUAUGCAUACCCGUUUGCAUGUACUUUAUGAAUAAGGAUCGGCUAACUCCGUGCCAGCAGCCGCGGUAAUACGGAGGAUCCGAGCGUUAUCCGGAUUUAUUGGGUUUAAAGGGAGCGUAGAUGGAUGUUUAAGUCAGUUGUGAAAGUUUGCGGCUCAACCGUAAAAUCGCAGUUGAUACUGGAUAUCUUGAGUGCAGUUGAGGCAGGCGGAAUUCGUGGUGUAGCGGUGAAAUGCUUAGAUAUCACGAAGAACUCCGAUUGCGAAGGCAGCCUGCUAAGCUGCAACUGACAUUGAGGCUCGAAAGUGUGGGUAUCAAACAGGAUUAGAUACCCUGGUAGUCCACACGGUAAACGAUGAAUACUCGCUGUUUGCGAUAUACGGCAAGCGGCCAAGCGAAAGCGUUAAGUAUUCCACCUGGGGAGUACGCCGGCAACGGUGAAACUCAAAGGAAUUGACGGGGGCCCGCACAAGCGGAGGAACGUGUGGUUUAAUUCGAUGAUACGCGAGGAACCUUACCCGGGCUUAAAUUGCAGAUGAAUUACGGUGAAAGCCGUAAGCCGCAAGGCAUCUGUGAAGGUGCUGCAUGGUUGUCGUCAGCUCGUGCCGUGAGGUGUCGGCUUAAGUGCCAUAACGAGCGCAACCCUUGUUGUCAGUUACUAACAGGUUCCGCUGAGGACUCUGACAAGACUGCCAUCGUAAGAUGUGAGGAAGGUGGGGAUGACGUCAAAUCAGCACGGCCCUUACGUCCGGGGCUACACACGUGUUACAAUGGGGGGUACAGAGGGCCGCUACCACGCGAGUGGAUGCCAAUCCCCAAAACCUCUCUCAGUUCGGACUGGAGUCUGCAACCCGACUCCACGAAGCUGGAUUCGCUAGUAAUCGCGCAUCAGCCACGGCGCGGUGAAUACGUUCCCGGGCCUUGUACACACCGCCCGUCAAGCCAUGGGAGCCGGGGGUACCUGAAGUGCGUAACCGCGAGGAGCGCCCUAGGGUAAAACUGGUGACUGGG